RNAcentral lists this transfer RNA (71 nucleotides) under Loxodonta africana (African savanna elephant). It matches the Rfam family "tRNA". From Rfam's summary of the family: Transfer RNA (tRNA) molecules are approximately 80 nucleotides in length. The record is from Rfam by way of RNAcentral. Lineage: Eukaryota; Metazoa; Chordata; Mammalia; Proboscidea; Elephantidae.
GCAGCAGUGGUUCAGUGGUAGAAUCCUCGCCUUCCAUGUGAAAAGCCCCGGUUCGAUUCCUGGCCAAUGCA